UACAGAGGGGGCAAGCGUUGUUCGGAAUUACUGGGCGUAAAGGGCGCGUAGGCGGCCUGCUAAGUCGAACGUGAAAUCCCCGGGCUCAACCCGGGAACUGCGUCCGAUACUGAAAGGCUUGAAUCCGGGAGAGGGAUGCGGAAUUCCAGGUGUAGCGGUGAAAUGCGUAGAUAUCUGGAGGAACACCGGUGGCGAAGGCGGCAUCCUGGACCGGCAUUGACGCUGAGGCGCGAAAGCCAGGGGAGCAAACGGG
Molecule: ribosomal RNA, 253 nt
Filed under: uncultured bacterium
Lineage: Bacteria
Description: partial 16S ribosomal RNA
Rfam family: Bacterial small subunit ribosomal RNA
Source: RNAcentral